GGGGAUGUAGCUCAGUGGUUGAGCACUUGCCUAACACGUGCAAGGCCCUGAGUUUAAUCCUCAGUGUCCCUC
RNAcentral lists this transfer RNA (72 nucleotides) under Ictidomys tridecemlineatus (thirteen-lined ground squirrel). Its description in RNAcentral is "Spermophilus tridecemlineatus (thirteen-lined ground squirrel) tRNA". It matches the Rfam family "tRNA". From Rfam's summary of the family: Transfer RNA (tRNA) molecules are approximately 80 nucleotides in length. Their secondary structure includes four short double-helical elements and three loops (D, anti-codon, and T loops). Further hydrogen bonds mediate the characteristic L-shaped molecular structure. tRNAs have two regions of fundamental functional importance: the anti-codon, which is responsible for specific mRNA codon recognition, and the 3' end, to which the tRNAs corresponding amino acid is attached (by aminoacyl-tRNA synthetases). tRNAs cope with the degeneracy of the genetic code in two manners: having more than one tRNA (with a specific anti-codon) for a particular amino acid; and 'wobble' base-pairing, i.e. permitting non-standard base-pairing at the 3rd anti-codon position. Lineage: Eukaryota; Metazoa; Chordata; Mammalia; Rodentia; Sciuridae. The record is from Rfam by way of RNAcentral.